CAGCGCGUGCGCAGUGAAAGUUGGUCCGUCCUGUUGCCCCCCGCAAGAACAUCGACUGGCGGCAGUGGCUGGUUGUAGAAAAGAGGAGUCAUCUGAAAAAGGUUCCGGAGCACCAAGCAGGAGGGUUCUGUUCCCCAGAAGAGUUUUAACCCUUAGCCCCCCCCCCACCAUCUCGGAAUACAAAAUACGUGGUUUGAUUGAGCAGCACAGAGAUGCCGUCUGUGUUCUGCUACUAUGCAAAAUCUCAGCGCCACGGGAGCAGCCAAACUAAUGUGGCCCCCAGACUCUCUGCUUAAAGAAAUCAGCCUUUACCGAUGGUCCAAAGGACGAGUUUCUGGCUCCUGCAUCUUAAGUUCGGUCCCCCCGGCUCCACCCCAAGUGGACAGAAAAAUGAGGGCAGAGCAAAAACUACGAGGAUUUUGAAGUGGAUUUUCAGUCUGGGAGAUCUCUCGGCUGAGCCCAGGAGGAGAAGGAUUGACCAAGAAGAUUGAUGAGGGCAGAGUGGUGGAUCUAUGUGGAUCUUUUCGGCAUGGGUUCUGCACGGUAGACUGGACGG
This is a long non-coding RNA of Stegostoma tigrinum, 556 nucleotides long. RefSeq lists it as uncharacterized. The transcript has 4 exons. The record is from RefSeq and is a predicted model, not a curated record. NCBI's taxonomy places the organism in Eukaryota, Metazoa, Chordata, Chondrichthyes, Orectolobiformes, Stegostomatidae.